CAUUGGGGGGCGCUAGUAUAAAUAGUGGCCAUUUGAGUGUCCCUGGAUCGCUUACCUGUGAUCUCCUUUUUGGUCACCUGACUUCCCUUUGGUGUUGCUGAGAUUAUUUGCGGGUUACACUUCUGAAGCCUCCAUCGCGGCUGGUCGUAGCUGUAGAAGCCUCCUCUGAGCCAUUCUGCUCAUGCUUUAUGACGCGGCUUACUCGGAAGUGUGGGCCUUAGUUUUACGCCACGCUACGCGAACUGAAGUGCUGCUGCUUUGUUUUGCUUUACUUUUACUGUCUGUUCCGGCUGCGAGGUUUCUUUCCUACUGCUGCCAGCCUUUAAAGUGGACGUCGGCGUGGACAACGGCCAUAUGCAUGCCACGCGAGUCGGCUGGCGUGCAUGUUGAUUGACUGACUGGAAGAUUAACUUAUAGUCGGGCAGACGGCCAGUUGGAUUACUACGGCGAUUCCGUCUGCUCCAUAUUUUAAAGUUUUA
Molecule: long non-coding RNA, 479 nt
Organism: Oreochromis niloticus (Nile tilapia)
Lineage: Eukaryota; Metazoa; Chordata; Actinopteri; Cichliformes; Cichlidae
Exons: 3
Source: RefSeq, a predicted model, not a curated record